CUUCACACGUCAUAACAAGUGGUACAUACAGGAGGGCUGACCCAACCCGCGAGGGGGAGCUAAUCCCAGAAAGUGUAUCGUAGUCCGGAUUGAAGUCUGCAACUCGACUUCAUGAAGUUGGAAUCGCUAGUAAUCGCGGAUCAGCAUGUCGCGGUGAAUACGUUCCCGGGUCUU
This 174-nucleotide ribosomal RNA is filed under the name uncultured Paucimonas sp. RNAcentral's name for it is "partial 16S ribosomal RNA". It matches the Rfam family "Bacterial small subunit ribosomal RNA", at positions 1214 to 1382 of the family's 1533-position model. Lineage: Bacteria; Pseudomonadati; Pseudomonadota; Betaproteobacteria; Burkholderiales; Burkholderiaceae. The record is from RNAcentral.